GUGCAUGCCACUACAGCUGGGAAAUCUGCACACUCGGCCAGCCAGUUGGUGGAAACUUGAAGAGAGCUAAUGCAGAAGCAGCUCUGAGUGCCAGGAGACUUUUCUGAAGAAAAACAAUUUGUUCAUGAAAAACUGAUGCUGGUGUUUUCCUGAUUAGUUUCCACUUGUUCAGAAGCUGAUAGGCUAAUAUAAAAGAGAUGCAUAAG
This 206-nucleotide unclassified non-coding RNA is filed under the name Hevea brasiliensis (rubber tree). Lineage: Eukaryota; Viridiplantae; Streptophyta; Magnoliopsida; Malpighiales; Euphorbiaceae. The record is from RNAcentral.